RNAcentral lists this ribosomal RNA (751 nucleotides) under uncultured bacterium. RNAcentral describes it as "bacterial SSU rRNA". It matches the Rfam family "Bacterial small subunit ribosomal RNA", at positions 28 to 776 of the family's 1533-position model. The record is from RNAcentral.
GAUGAACGCUGGCGGCGUGCCUAACACAUGCAAGUCGAACGGACAUUUUUUGGAAAGCUCUUCGGAACUGGAAUCUAAAUGUUAGUGGCGGACGGGUGAGUAACGCGUGAGCAAUCUGCCUUUCAGAGGGGGAUAACAGCCGGAAACGGCUGCUAAUACCGCAUAAUGCAUUGGAUUCGCAUGUUUCUGAUGCCAAAGAUUUUAUCGCUGAAAGAUGAGCUCGCGUCUGAUUUGCUAGUUGGCGGGGUAACGGCCCACCAAGGCGACGAUCAGUAGCCGGACUGAGAGGUUGAACGGCCACAUUGGGACUGAGACACGGCCCAGACUCCUACGGGAGGCAGCAGUGGGGAAUAUUGCGCAAUGGGGGCAACCCUGACGCAGCAACGCCGCGUGAUUGAUGAAGGUCUUCGGAUUGUAAAAAUCUUUAAUCAGGGACGAAGAAAAUGACGGUACCUGAAGAAUAAGCUCCGGCUAACUACGUGCCAGCAGCCGCGGUAAUACGUAGGGAGCAAGCGUUAUCCGGAUUUACUGGGUGUAAAGGGCGUGUAGGCGGGCUUGCAAGUUGGAAGUGAAAUCUCGGGGCUUAACCCCGAAACUGCUUUCAAAACUGCGAGUCUUGAGUGAUGGAGAGGCAGGCGGAAUUCCCAGUGUAGCGGUGAAAUGCGUAGAUAUUGGGAGGAACACCAGUGGCGAAGGCGGCCUGCUGGACAUUAACUGACGCUGAGGCGCGAAAGCGUGGGGAGCAAACAGG